This 94-nucleotide transfer RNA is filed under the name Ipomoea nil (Japanese morning glory). It matches the Rfam family "tRNA". Rfam says of the family: Transfer RNA (tRNA) molecules are approximately 80 nucleotides in length. The record is from Rfam by way of RNAcentral. Lineage: Eukaryota; Viridiplantae; Streptophyta; Magnoliopsida; Solanales; Convolvulaceae.
CUGACCUUAGCUCAGUUGGUAGAGUGGUGGACUGUAGUUUGACUAAUCUAAAUUGGAAAUCCUUAGGUCGCUGGUUUGAUUCCGGCAGGUUGGA